RNAcentral lists this long non-coding RNA (319 nucleotides) under Pan troglodytes (chimpanzee). RNAcentral's name for it is "long non-coding RNA NONPTRT010387". Lineage: Eukaryota; Metazoa; Chordata; Mammalia; Primates; Hominidae. The record is from RNAcentral.
UGAUAAACAUUUAAUACAUUCCUCUGCCCGUCUCCAAAGUUAAUCUGGCUUGAGGUAUCCAAAACAUGGCCCAUCUCCCUAUGGGGAAGAAGAAGCCAAUUACAGGUUGGAGAGGAGUGUGGAGAUCAGAUUUUUAUUUAAAAAAAAAAAAGAAAAGGAAAGUAAAGUUGAAAAAAUAAGUUAUCUCACUGGCUUGAUUCUUCUCCUUCCACACUGCAUCUGAUUCUAAGGAACAAGCACGGAAACAGGAGUAGGGAGACUUGGGCUCUAGUUCUGUUUUAGAGACAAUUACACAGUCACAGAAAUGUGCAUGAAGGAU